This 393-nucleotide ribosomal RNA is filed under the name uncultured bacterium. RNAcentral's name for it is "bacterial SSU rRNA". It matches the Rfam family "Bacterial small subunit ribosomal RNA", at positions 29 to 406 of the family's 1533-position model. The record is from RNAcentral.
AGCGAACGCUGGCGGCGUGCUUAACACAUGCAAGUCGAACGUGAAAGGGGGCAACCCUGAGUAAAGUGGCGUACGGGUGAGUAACACGUAGGUAAUCUACCCUAGAGUCCGGAAUAACCUGCCGAAAGGCGGGCUAAUACUGGAUAGAGCGACGGAAUCCGUAAUUGGGUUUUUCGGGAAAGGGAGCUCGCAAGAGCCCUCGCUUUAGGAUGAGCCUGCGUCCCAUUAGCUAGUUGGCGGGGUAAUGGCCCACCAAGGCAGUGAUGGGUAGCUGGUCUGAGAGGAUGAUCAGCCACACUGGAACUGAAACACGGUCCAGACUCCGUACGGGAGGCAGCAGGUGGGAAUCUUGCGCAAGUGGACGAAAGUCUGACGCAGCCACGCCGCGUGAGU